GACGAACGCUGGCGGCGUGCCUAAUACAUGCAAGUUGAGCGCUGAAGGUUGGUACUUGUACCAACUGGAUGAGCAGCGAACGGGUGAGUAACGCGUGGGGAAUCUGCCUUUGAGCGGGGGACAACAUUUGGAAACGAAUGCUAAUACCGCAUAAAAACUUUAAACACAAGUUUUAAGUUUGAAAGAUGCAAUUGCAUCACUCAAAGAUGAUCCCGCGUUGUAUUAGCUAGUUGGUGAGGAAAAGGCUCACCAAGGCGAUGAUACAUAGCCGACCUGAGAGGGUGAUCGGCCACAUUGGGACUGAGACACGGCCCAAACGCCUACGGGAGGCAGCAGUAGGGAAUCUUCGGCAAUGGACGAAAGUCUGACCGAGCAACGCCGCGUGAGUGAAGAAGGUUUUCGGAUCGUAAAACUCUGUUGGUAGAGAAGAACGUUGGUGAGAGUGGAAAGCUCAUCAAGUGACGGUAACUACCCAGAAAGGGACGGCUAACUACGUG
RNAcentral lists this ribosomal RNA (497 nucleotides) under uncultured bacterium. RNAcentral describes it as "partial 16S ribosomal RNA". It matches the Rfam family "Bacterial small subunit ribosomal RNA", at positions 28 to 507 of the family's 1533-position model. The record is from RNAcentral.